Molecule: ribosomal RNA, 490 nt
Filed under: uncultured bacterium
Lineage: Bacteria
Description: partial 16S ribosomal RNA
Rfam family: Bacterial small subunit ribosomal RNA
Source: RNAcentral
AUUGAACGCUGGCGGCAGGCCUAACACAUGCAAGUCGAACGGUAACAGGAAGAAGCUUGCUUCUUUGCUGACGAGUGGCGGACGGGUGAGUAAUGUCUGGGAAACUGCCUGAUGGCGGGGGAUAACUACUGGAAACGGUAGCUAAUACCGCAUAACGUCGCAAGACCAAAAAGGGGGACCUUCGGGCCUCUUGCCAUCGGAUGUGCCCAGAUGGGAUUAGCUAGUAGGUGGGGUAACGGCUCACCUAGGCGACGAUCCCUAGCUGGUCUGAGAGGAUGACCAGCCACACUGGAACUGAGACACGGUCCAGACUCCUACGGGAGGCAGCAGUGGGGAAUAUUGCACAAUGGGCGCAAGCCUGAUGCAGCCAUGCCGCGUGUAUGAAGAAGGCCUUCGGGUUGUAAAGUACUUUCAGCGGGGAGGAAGGAAGGAAAGUUAAUACCUUUGCUCAUUGACGUUACCCGCAGAAGAAGCACCGGCUAACUCCGUG